UCAAGGUAAACGGGUGGGCCCUCGAAAUCCUGUGGAGGGAGGAUUCAGUCUGUAGUUGGCGUCGCUCUGGUUGGAAACGAAGGAAGGGCUUCCCGCGAACUGGGGCCGUCCGACUGAGAGGCUUCGUCUAAGGACAGACGCAUUUGGCUCCCUCCCCGAGGACGUCGCAGCCGGUCCGGACGUUGCAAACGUGACGGCCUGAGAGGCGGGGGAUGGCAGGUGGCCGGUGGCACCCUCAUUACGGGAGUCGCCGGUUGUUAGCCGCCCCGCCCGUGGCGCGUCUCCGGACCGUGGUCAUGGAGCCCAUAUCCAGCUCCGCCUCCGCCUCAGGCUUCGGGACUGGAAGGUCGCGAGCGAAGGCAGCCGCCCUGUCGCACUCCGAUACCGAGUGGACAGGAGACGAGUCGGCGCCGGCAGCGACCGCGGACCCGUAGGGGGCAUAUCGGAGGCUUGCGGCGAGUAGGUCGGUCACCCACCCGACCCGUCUUGAAACACGGACCAAGGAGUCUAACAUGUGCGCGAGUCAAUGGGUCUCGAAUAAGCCCAGAGGCGCAAUGAAAGCAAAGGCGGUGCCUGAACGCCCGCCGAGUCGGGAUCCCCGUGGGGACACGGGGCGCACCGACGACCCGUCCCGAGCGGCUCCUGUCGCUGGGGCGGAGUGUGAGCGCACACGUUGGGACCCGAAAGAUGGUGAACUAUGCCCGGCCAGGACGAGGCCAGAGGAAACUCUGGUGGAGGUCCGCAGC
This 746-nucleotide ribosomal RNA is filed under the name Allocosa funerea. Its description in RNAcentral is "partial 28S ribosomal RNA". The stretch from base 498 to 746 matches the Rfam family "Eukaryotic large subunit ribosomal RNA", at positions 665 to 881 of the family's 3401-position model. The record is from RNAcentral. Lineage: Eukaryota; Metazoa; Arthropoda; Arachnida; Araneae; Lycosidae.